Molecule: unclassified non-coding RNA, 346 nt
Filed under: soil metagenome
Description: partial contains 5.8S ribosomal RNA, internal transcribed spacer 2, and large subunit ribosomal RNA
Rfam family: 5.8S ribosomal RNA (bases 1-120)
Source: RNAcentral
GAUGAAGAACGCAGCGAAAUGCGAUAAGUAAUGUGAAUUGCAGAAUUCAGUGAAUCAUCGAAUCUUUGAACGCACAUUGCGCCCGCCAGUAUUCUGGCGGGCAUGCCUGUCCGAGCGUCAUUUCAACCCUCGAACCCCUCCGGGGGGUCGGCGUUGGGGAUCGGCACUUACCUGCCGGCCCCGAAAUACAGUGGCGGUCUCGCCGCAGCCUCUCCUGCGCAGUAGUUUGCACACUCGCACCGGGAGCGCGGCGCGUCCACGGCCGUAAAACAACCCAAACUUCUGAAAUGUUGACCUCGGAUCAGGUAGGAAUACCCGCUGAACUUAAGCAUAUCAAUAGCGGAGA